ACCGGGGGAACUGAAACAUCUAAGUACCCCGAGGAAAAGAAAUCAACCGAGAUUCCCCCAGUAGCGGCGAGCGAACGGGGAGGAGCCCAGAGCCUGAAUCAGUGUGUGUGUUAGUGGAAGCGUCUGGAAAGGCGCGCGAUACAGGGUGACAGCCCCGUACACAAAAAUGCACAUAUUGUGAGCUCGAUGAGUAGGGCGGGACACGUGGUAUCCUGUCUGAAUAUGGGGGGACCAUCCUCCAAGGCUAAAUACUCCUGACUGACCGAUAGUGAACCAGUACCGUGAGGGAAAGGCGAAAAGAACCCCGGCGAGGGGAGUGAAAAAGAACCUGAAACCGUGUACGUACAAGCAGUGGGAGCCUCUUUAUGGGGUGACUGCGUACCUUUUGUAUAAUGGGUCAGCGACUUAUAUUCUGUAGCAAGGUUAACCGAAUAGGGGAGCCGAAGGGAAACCGAGUCUUAACUGGGCGUUAAGUUGCAGGGUAUAGACCCGAAACCCGGUGAUCUAGCCAUGGGCAGGUUGAAGGUUGGGUAACACUAACUGGAGGACCGAACCGACUAAUGUUGAAAAAUUAGCGGAUGACUUGUGGCUGGGGGUGAAAGGCCAAUCAAACCGGGAGAUAGCUGGUUCUCCCCGAAAGCUAUUUAGGUAGCGCCUCGUGAAUUCAUCUCCGGGGGUAGAGCACUGUUUCGGCAAGGGGGUCAUCCCGACUUACCAACCCGAUGCAAACUGCGAAUACCGGAGAAUGUUAUCACGGGAGACACACGGCGGGUGCUAACGUCCGUCGUGAAGAGGGAAACAACCCAGACCGCCAGCUAAGGUCCCAAAGUCAUGGUUAAGUGGGAAACGAUGUGGGAAGGCCCAGACAGCCAGGAUGUUGGCUUAGAAGCAGCCAUCAUUUAAAGAAAGCGUAAUAGCUCACUGGUCGAGUCGGCCUGCGCGGAAGAUGUAACGGGGCUAAACCAUGCACCGAAGCUGCGGCAGCGACACUAUGUGUUGUUGGGUAGGGGAGCGUUCUGUAAGCCUGUGAAGGUGGCCUGUGAGGGUUGCUGGAGGUAUCAGAAGUGCGAAUGCUGACAUAAGUAACGAUAAAGCGGGUGAAAAGCCCGCUCGCCGGAAGACCAAGGGUUCCUGUCCAACGUUAAUCGGGGCAGGGUGAGUCGACCCCUAAGGCGAGGCCGAAAGGCGUAGUCGAUGGGAAACAGGUUAAUAUUCCUGUACUUGGUGUUACUGCGAAGGGGGGACGGAGAAGGCUAUGUUGGCCGGGCGACGGUUGUCCCGGUUUAAGCGUGUAGGCUGGUUUUCCAGGCAAAUCCGGAAAACCAAGGCUGAGGCGUGAUGACGAGGCACUACGGUGCUGAAGCGACAAAUGCCCUGCUUCCAGGAAAAGCCUCUAAGCAUCAGGUAACAUCAAAUCGUACCCCAAACCGACACAGGUGGUCAGGUAGAGAAUACCAAGGCGCUUGAGAGAACUCGGGUGAAGGAACUAGGCAAAAUGGUGCCGUAACUUCGGGAGAAGGCACGCUGAUAUGUAGGUGAAGCGACUUGCUCGUGGAGCUGAAAUCAGUCGAAGAUACCAGCUGGCUGCAACUGUUUAUUAAAAACACAGCACUGUGCAAACACGAAAGUGGACGUAUACGGUGUGACGCCUGCCCGGUGCCGGAAGGUUAAUUGAUGGGGUUAGCGGUAACGCGAAGCUCUUGAUCGAAGCCCCGGUAAACGGCGGCCGUAACUAUAACGGUCCUAAGGUAGCGAAAUUCCUUGUCGGGUAAGUUCCGACCUGCACGAAUGGCGUAAUGAUGGCCAGGCUGUCUCCACCCGAGACUCAGUGAAAUUGAACUCGCUGUGAAGAUGCAGUGUACCCGCGGCAAGACGGAAAGACCCCGUGAACCUUUACUAUAGCUUGACACUGAACAUUGAGCCUUGAUGUGUAGGAUAGGUGGGAGGCUUUGAAGUGUGGACGCCAGUCUGCAUGGAGCCGACCUUGAAAUACCACCCUUUAAUGUUUGAUGUUCUAACGUUGGCCCGUAAUCCGGGUUGCGGACAGUGUCUGGUGGGUAGUUUGACUGGGGCGGUCUCCUCCUAAAGAGUAACGGAGGAGCACGAAGGUUGGCUAAUCCUGGUCGGACAUCAGGAGGUUAGUGCAAUGGCAUAAGCCAGCUUGACUGCGAGCGUGACGGCGCGAGCAGGUGCGAAAGCAGGUCAUAGUGAUCCGGUGGUUCUGAAUGGAAGGGCCAUC
RNAcentral lists this ribosomal RNA (2239 nucleotides) under human gut metagenome. RNAcentral describes it as "bacterial LSU rRNA". It matches the Rfam family "Bacterial large subunit ribosomal RNA", at positions 183 to 2446 of the family's 2925-position model. The record is from RNAcentral.